RNAcentral lists this transfer RNA (70 nucleotides) under Diestrammena japanica. RNAcentral describes it as "tRNA-Cys". The record is from RNAcentral. Lineage: Eukaryota; Metazoa; Arthropoda; Insecta; Orthoptera; Rhaphidophoridae.
GGCCUUAUAUUCAAUGUACAGAUGAUAUUAGAUUGCAAAUCUGAAGGAGUAGUAAGUUCUACUAAGGCUU